Molecule: transfer RNA, 73 nt
Filed under: Camelus bactrianus (Bactrian camel)
Lineage: Eukaryota; Metazoa; Chordata; Mammalia; Artiodactyla; Camelidae
Also listed under: 3 other names
Rfam family: tRNA
About the family: Transfer RNA (tRNA) molecules are approximately 80 nucleotides in length. Their secondary structure includes four short double-helical elements and three loops (D, anti-codon, and T loops). Further hydrogen bonds mediate the characteristic L-shaped molecular structure. tRNAs have two regions of fundamental functional importance: the anti-codon, which is responsible for specific mRNA codon recognition, and the 3' end, to which the tRNAs corresponding amino acid is attached (by aminoacyl-tRNA synthetases). tRNAs cope with the degeneracy of the genetic code in two manners: having more than one tRNA (with a specific anti-codon) for a particular amino acid; and 'wobble' base-pairing, i.e. permitting non-standard base-pairing at the 3rd anti-codon position.
Source: Rfam by way of RNAcentral
GAGGGUAUAGCUCAAGUGGUAGAGUACAUGCUUAGCAUGCAUGAGGUCCUGGGUUCAAUCCCCACUACCUCCU